GACGAACGCUGGCGGCGUGCCUAAUACAUGCAAGUCGAACGAACGGAGGAAGAGCUUGCUCUUCCAAAGUUAGUGGCGGACGGGUGAGUAACACGUGGGCAACCUGCCUGUAAGUUGGGGAUAACUCCGGGAAACCGGGGCUAAUACCGAAUGAUAAGGAGUGACGCAUGUCACUGCUUUGAAAGAUGGUUUCGGCUAUCGCUUACAGAUGGGCCCGCGGUGCAUUAGCUAGUUGGUAGGGUAAAGGCCUACCAAGGCAACGAUGCAUAGCCGACCUGAGAGGGUGAUCGGCCACACUGGGACUGAGACACGGCCCAGACUCCUACGGGAGGCAGCAGUAGGGAAUCUUCCGCAAUGGACGAAAGUCUGACGGAGCAACGCCGCGUGUAUGAAGAAGGUUUUCGGAUCGUAAAGUACUGUUGUUAGAGAAGAACAAGGAUAAGAGUAACUGCUUGUCCCUUGACGGUAUCUAACC
Molecule: ribosomal RNA, 475 nt
Filed under: Listeria seeligeri
Lineage: Bacteria; Bacillati; Bacillota; Bacilli; Caryophanales; Listeriaceae
Description: bacterial SSU rRNA
Rfam family: Bacterial small subunit ribosomal RNA
Source: RNAcentral